Molecule: transfer RNA, 67 nt
Filed under: Marmota monax (woodchuck)
Lineage: Eukaryota; Metazoa; Chordata; Mammalia; Rodentia; Sciuridae
Description: tRNA.Ala
Source: RNAcentral
GGUUUGUGGCUCAGUGGUGGAGUGUUCAUCUAGCAGUGUGAAGCCCUGGGUUCGAUUCUCAGCACCA